Molecule: ribosomal RNA, 406 nt
Filed under: uncultured bacterium
Lineage: Bacteria
Description: partial 16S ribosomal RNA
Rfam family: Bacterial small subunit ribosomal RNA
Source: RNAcentral
AUUGAACGCUGGCGGCAGGCCUAACACAUGCAAGUCGAACGCGUGGCGGACGGGUGAGUAAUGUCUGUGAAACUGCCUGAUGGUGGGGGAUAACUACUGGAAACGGUAGCUAAUACCGCAUACCAUCAGAUGUGCCCAGAUGGGAUUACAUGUUUGGUGGGGUAACGGCUCACCAAGGCGACGAGCCCUAGCUGGUCUGAGAGGAUGACCAGCCACACUGGAACUGAGACACGGUCCAGACGCGUACGGGAGGCAGCAGGGGGGAAUAUCGCGAAAUGGGCGAAAGCCUGAUGCAGCCAUGCCGCGUGUAUGAAGAGGGCCUUCGGGUUGUAAAGUACUUUCAGCGGGGAGGCGUUACCCGCAGAAGAAGCACCGGCUAACUCCGUGCCAGCAGCCGCGGUAAUUC